GUAGGUGGCAAGCGUUGUCCGGAAUUAUUGGGCGUAAAGCGCGCGCAGGUGGGUUCUUUAAGUCUGAUGUGAAAGCCCCCGGGCUCAACCGGGGAGGGUCAUUGGAAACUGGGGAACUUGAGUGCAGGAGAGGAAAGUGGAAUUCCACGUGUAGCGGUGAAAUGCGUAGAUAUGUGGAGGAACACCAGUGGCGAAGGCGACUUUCUGGCCUGUAACUGACACUGAGGCGCGAAAGCGUGGGGAGCAAACAGGAUUAGAUACCCUGGUAGUCCACGCCGUAAACGAUGAGUGCUAAGUGUUGGGGGGUUUCCGCCCCUCAGUGCUGCAGCUAACGCAUUAAGCACUCCGCCUGGGGAGUACGGUCGCAAAGACUG
RNAcentral lists this ribosomal RNA (374 nucleotides) under uncultured organism. RNAcentral describes it as "partial 16S ribosomal RNA". It matches the Rfam family "Bacterial small subunit ribosomal RNA", at positions 527 to 896 of the family's 1533-position model. The record is from RNAcentral.